GAUCCUGGCUCAGGAUGAACGCUAGCUACAGGCUUAACACAUGCAAGUCGAGGGGCAGCAUUUUAGUUUGCUUGCAAACUAAAGAUGGCGACCGGCGCACGGGUGAGUAACACGUAUCCAACCUGCCGAUAACUCGGGGAUAGCCUUUCGAAAGAAAGAUUAAUAUCCGAUGGUAUAUUUUCUCCGCAUGGUGAGAAUAUUAAAGAAUUUCGGUUAUCGAUGGGGAUGCGUUCCAUUAGUUUGUUGGG
Molecule: ribosomal RNA, 248 nt
Filed under: uncultured bacterium
Lineage: Bacteria
Description: partial 16S ribosomal RNA
Rfam family: Bacterial small subunit ribosomal RNA
Source: RNAcentral